Molecule: ribosomal RNA, 2782 nt
Filed under: Vibrio cholerae
Lineage: Bacteria; Pseudomonadati; Pseudomonadota; Gammaproteobacteria; Vibrionales; Vibrionaceae
Description: partial 23S ribosomal RNA
Rfam family: Bacterial large subunit ribosomal RNA
Source: RNAcentral
GUUGUAUGGUUAAGUGACUAAGCGUACACGGUGGAUGCCUGGGCAGUCAGAGGCGAUGAAGGACGUACUAACUUGCGAUAAGCGCAGAUAAGGCAGUAAGAGCCGUUUGAGUCUGCGAUUUCCGAAUGGGGAAACCCAACUGCAUAAGCAGUUACUGUUAACUGAAUACAUAGGUUAACAGAGCAAACCGGGGGAACUGAAACAUCUAAGUACCCCGAGGAGAAGAAAUCAACCGAGAUUCCGGUAGUAGCGGCGAGCGAACCUGGAUUAGCCCUUAAGCACUCGGUGAAGUAGGUGAACAAGCUGGAAAGCUUGGCGAUACAGGGUGAUAGCCCCGUAACCGACGCUUCAUCGAGCGUGAAAUCGAGUAGGGCGGGACACGUGAUAUCCUGUCUGAAUAUGGGGGGACCAUCCUCCAAGGCUAAAUACUCCUGACUGACCGAUAGUGAACCAGUACCGUGAGGGAAAGGCGAAAAGAACCCCUGUGAGGGGAGUGAAAUAGAACCUGAAACCGUGUACGUACAAGCAGUAGGAGCACCUUCGUGGUGUGACUGCGUACCUUUUGUAUAAUGGGUCAGCGACUUAUAUUCAGUGGCAAGGUUAACCGUAUAGGGGAGCCGUAGCGAAAGCGAGUCUUAACUGGGCGCUCAGUCUCUGGAUAUAGACCCGAAACCGGGUGAUCUAGCCAUGGGCAGGUUGAAGGUUGAGUAACAUCAACUGGAGGACCGAACCGACUAAUGUUGAAAAAUUAGCGGAUGACUUGUGGCUAGGGGUGAAAGGCCAAUCAAACUCGGAGAUAGCUGGUUCUCCCCGAAAGCUAUUUAGGUAGCGCCUCGGACGAAUACUACUGGGGGUAGAGCACUGUUAAGGCUAGGGGGUCAUCCCGACUUACCAACCCUUUGCAAACUCCGAAUACCAGUAAGUACUAUCCGGGAGACACACGGCGGGUGCUAACGUCCGUCGUGGAGAGGGAAACAACCCAGACCGCCAGCUAAGGUCCCAAAGUAUUGCUAAGUGGGAAACGAUGUGGGAAGGCUCAGACAGCUAGGAUGUUGGCUUAGAAGCAGCCAUCAUUUAAAGAAAGCGUAAUAGCUCACUAGUCGAGUCGGCCUGCGCGGAAGAUGUAACGGGGCUAAGCAAUACACCGAAGCUGCGGCAAUAUCUUUUAGAUAUUGGGUAGGGGAGCGUUCUGUAAGCCGUUGAAGGUGAAUCGUAAGGUUUGCUGGAGGUAUCAGAAGUGCGAAUGCUGACAUGAGUAACGACAAAGGGGGUGAAAAACCUCCUCGCCGGAAGACCAAGGGUUCCUGUCCAACGUUAAUCGGGGCAGGGUGAGUCGACCCCUAAGGUGAGGCCGAAAGGCGUAAUCGAUGGGAAACGGGUUAAUAUUCCCGUACUUCUGACUAUUGCGAUGGGGGGACGGAGAAGGCUAGGUGGGCCAGGCGACGGUUGUCCUGGUUCAAGUGCGUAGGCUUGAGAGUUAGGUAAAUCCGGCUCUCUCUAAGGCUGAGACACGACGUCGAGCUGCUACGGCAGUGAAGUCAUUGAUGCCAUGCUUCCAGGAAAAGCCUCUAAGCUUCAGAUAGUCAGGAAUCGUACCCCAAACCGACACAGGUGGUCGGGUAGAGAAUACCAAGGCGCUUGAGAGAACUCGGGUGAAGGAACUAGGCAAAAUGGUACCGUAACUUCGGGAGAAGGUACGCUCUUGAUGGUGAAGUCCCUCGCGGAUGGAGCUGACGAGAGUCGCAGAUACCAGGUGGCUGCAACUGUUUAUUAAAAACACAGCACUGUGCAAAAUCGCAAGAUGACGUAUACGGUGUGACGCCUGCCCGGUGCCGGAAGGUUAAUUGAUGGGGUUAGCGCAAGCGAAGCUCUUGAUCGAAGCCCCGGUAAACGGCGGCCGUAACUAUAACGGUCCUAAGGUAGCGAAAUUCCUUGUCGGGUAAGUUCCGACCUGCACGAAUGGCGUAAUGAUGGCCACGCUGUCUCCACCCGAGACUCAGUGAAAUUGAAAUCGCUGUGAAGAUGCAGUGUACCCGCGGCUAGACGGAAAGACCCCGUGAACCUUUACUACAGCUUGGCACUGAACAUUGAACCUACAUGUGUAGGAUAGGUGGGAGGCUAUGAAGACGUGACGCUAGUUGCGUUGGAGCCGUCCUUGAAAUACCACCCUUGUAUGUUUGAUGUUCUAACUUAGACCCAUUAUCUGGGUUGAGGACAGUGCCUGGUGGGUAGUUUGACUGGGGCGGUCUCCUCCCAAAGAGUAACGGAGGAGCACGAAGGUGGGCUAAUCACGGUUGGACAUCGUGAGGUUAGUGCAAUGGCAUAAGCCCGCUUAACUGCGAGAAUGACGGUUCGAGCAGGUGCGAAAGCAGGUCAUAGUGAUCCGGUGGUUCUGUAUGGAAGGGCCAUCGCUCAACGGAUAAAAGGUACUCCGGGGAUAACAGGCUGAUACCGCCCAAGAGUUCAUAUCGACGGCGGUGUUUGGCACCUCGAUGUCGGCUCAUCACAUCCUGGGGCUGAAGUCGGUCCCAAGGGUAUGGCUGUUCGCCAUUUAAAGUGGUACGCGAGCUGGGUUUAGAACGUCGUGAGACAGUUCGGUCCCUAUCUGCCGUGGGCGUUGGAAGAUUGAAGGGGGCUGCUCCUAGUACGAGAGGACCGGAGUGGACGAACCUCUGGUGUUCGGGUUGUGUCGCCAGACGCAUUGCCCGGUAGCUAAGUUCGGAAUUGAUAAGCGCUGAAAGCAUCUAAGCGCGAAGCGAGCCCUGAGAUGAGUCUUCCCUGA